GAGAAAAGAGGACGAUGGAGCGAGGAGCACAGACCUGGUGCCGAUGCCAAUUCCCUUCCCUUCGCACCCAGCGUCCCGUGCCAGCCCUCGCCCAGCCACAAAAGGCUGCCUCCCCUCCCGGCAAACUAACCAAGCAUUUAAAUUUAAUAGCUGUCCGCAACCUCGCCGUUUCAAAGUGAUUAAGCAUUUGAUUAAAGCCCAUGUGUUGCUUUGCUGGCUGGGAGGCAAAUUCCUCCACAGGGCCCAUGAAAUCGGCUCCGGUGACCGGCACGGCACACGGCGGAUGCUCUUUGCCAUCCCCCCCUGCUCUCCCCGUGUCAGACGAGGUGCUGACAGGGAGCCUGGCCCCUCGGGUAACCCCAGCUGCCCCCUCCAUCCCGAUGCACCCGUGCGUGCAAACAGUGCUCCUCCCUCCGUCGGUGCUCCGGCAAAGCCAGAGCAGGAGGAGAGCCCGCGGGCUGGGGACGUGCCAUCGCCCAGGGGAGAAACCGAGGCACGGCGAGGGACGCUGAGGCCAGAGCGAGAUGGGGCUCCAGGGCUCGUGGCCGGCUGGAGCGAAAUCAGGAACGGAGGUUGUGUCUUCAUGCAGAAAACAGGAGCUCGCCAGAUAGGCAGCAUCCGGCUGGACCCGCAGGUGCCGUCAGGAAGGAUCCCAGUGAGGAGCGGACCAUUUCCAGAGCCCACCACGCAGCCGCACGUUCACUGGUUGGACUCGCUCCGUGGCCGCCCCAUCCCACCCCACGUCUCCCUGCAUCUGGCCCCACCGACUCCCUCCAAGGGCGGCUGGAGACGUAGGGUGGCCUCCUCCAUCCCCGCAGUGCCCAUUCCCUCCUCUUCCCCGCAGCUCCACAGGCAUUUCUCACCCACAACCCCAUAUCGUUCCUCAUCCCCUCCAACAUCCCCUUCCUUAUGCAUGCCCAUAACCAUUUCUUCUCCUCUCGCUCCUUGUACUUGUCCUGGUUUCAGGAA
Aquila chrysaetos chrysaetos is the source of this 969-nucleotide long non-coding RNA. RefSeq lists it as uncharacterized. The record is from RefSeq and is a predicted model, not a curated record. NCBI's taxonomy places the organism in Eukaryota, Metazoa, Chordata, Aves, Accipitriformes, Accipitridae. The transcript has 2 exons.